Non-coding RNA from Podarcis lilfordi (Lilford's wall lizard), 73 nucleotides. Lineage: Eukaryota; Metazoa; Chordata; Lepidosauria; Squamata; Lacertidae. The record is from the annotation of a GenBank genome assembly.
GCUUUAUGUGGCUUGGUGGGAGAGCAUGUGCUUUGCAUGCAGAAGGUCUUGGGUUCAAUCCCCGGCAUCUCCA